CCUACGGGAGGCAGCAGUGAGGAAUAUUGGUCAAUGGGCGUAAGCCUGAACCAGCCAAGUCGCGUGAGGGAUGAAGGUUCUAUGGAUCGUAAACCUCUUUUAUAAGGGAAUAAAGUGUGGGACGUGUCCUAUUUUGUAUGUACCUUAUGAAUAAGGAUCGGCUAACUCCGUGCCAGCAGCCGCGGUAAUACGGAGGAUCCGAGCGUUAUCCGGAUUUAUUGGGUUUAAAGGGUGCGUAGGCGGACUUUUAAGUCAGCGGGGAAAGUCUGUGGCUCAACCAUAGAAUUGCCGUUGAAACUGGGGGUGUUGAGUUUGUUAGAGGUAGGCGGAAUGUGUGGUGUAGCGGUGAAAUGCUUAGAUAUCACGCAGAACCCCGAUUGCGAAGGCAGCCUGCCAAGCCAUGACUGACGCUGAUGCACGAAAGCGUGGGGAUCAAACAGGAUUAGAUACCCUUGUAGUC
RNAcentral lists this ribosomal RNA (460 nucleotides) under uncultured bacterium. RNAcentral's name for it is "partial 16S ribosomal RNA". It matches the Rfam family "Bacterial small subunit ribosomal RNA", at positions 338 to 795 of the family's 1533-position model. The record is from RNAcentral.